UUCGUGCUGUGCUCGAUUUGAUGCAUGUGAAUGUGUUUUUGUUUGUUAUUGAAUGACACAGGCACAACAGAUGCCAGCAAUGCUGUUAUGAUCGAGAUUAUGAUUUUGUAAAUGCAUACAUUAUAUAUCUGGGAUACGAAUGAAAUUUAACGCGAGGUGUGCGCUGGUAAAAUAUGCGAGUACAGGAGACCACUCACCGAAUAGCAGAAGCAUUGAUUUGUCAUCAACAGGCACACACUAAAGACUAAAGACUGAAAGCUUUGCUAGCUUUCAGACACAUGAUGAGUGUUUGGCACUACUUUGUUUGUAAGAAACAUGUAAUAUGGAGGAUGCUGCAUGUUACCUUGGAUGGAGAGUUAUCAGAAGAAACUCCAGGUUGGAAUAUCAGUAAUAUUAGGACAACCAAACUCUCCACCAGGAUGAGCGGCCACCUCCAAACUGUGGCCUAGAGCAUGGUAGACCACCCUGUGGCACAACAUGCAGCUGAACAUAAUUAAGGUGACUGGUUAACCCACUUGAAAAGCCAAAUGCUUUAGCUUUGCUUCCGGGACAUGGAGGCAAACCUGCCUGAUACCAAAUCUGCAUCAAGGAUUAAUGAUGAUGGCUGAUGAGCCAGCCAGCCCAGAAGUGAUUGUUAGACGGUUCCCCACAUCCAACUAGAUCAGGAGUUUCCAAACUUUUCUUUUGAAGUAAUCCUGGUACAUUGAUGGAACACCUCAUGUAUUUUUAAGGUUAAUAAAAUUAA
Molecule: long non-coding RNA, 745 nt
Organism: Schistocerca nitens (vagrant locust)
Lineage: Eukaryota; Metazoa; Arthropoda; Insecta; Orthoptera; Acrididae
Exons: 4
Source: RefSeq, a predicted model, not a curated record